Molecule: unclassified non-coding RNA, 387 nt
Filed under: soil metagenome
Description: partial contains 5.8S ribosomal RNA, internal transcribed spacer 2, and large subunit ribosomal RNA
Rfam family: 5.8S ribosomal RNA (bases 1-120)
Source: RNAcentral
GAUGAAGAACGUAGCGAAAUGCGAUAAGUAAUGUGAAUUGCAGAAUUCAGUGAAUCAUCGAAUCUUUGAACGCACCUUGCGCUCCUUGGUAUUCCGAGGAGCAUGCCUGUUUGAGUGUCAUGAAAUUCUCAACCUUUUCAGCUUUCUUUGUUGAUCAGGCUUGGAUGUGGGAGUAUGCGGGCUUCUCAGAAGUCGGCUCUCCUGAAAUGCAUUAGCGGGACCUUUGUUGCCUGGCUUCGGUGUGAUAAUUAUCUACGCCAUUGUAGUCAAGCAGCUUAAAAUGAGGUUUCAGCUUCUAACCGUCUCCCCUGAGACAACUUUUUGACAAUUUGACCUCAAAUCAGGUAGGACUACCCGCUGAACUUAAGCAUAUCAAUAAGCGGAGGA